RNAcentral lists this ribosomal RNA (159 nucleotides) under Pyrenula scutata. RNAcentral's name for it is "5.8S ribosomal RNA". It matches the Rfam family "5.8S ribosomal RNA". From Rfam's summary of the family: 5.8S ribosomal RNA (5.8S rRNA) is a component of the large subunit of the eukaryotic ribosome. The record is from RNAcentral. Lineage: Eukaryota; Fungi; Ascomycota; Eurotiomycetes; Pyrenulales; Pyrenulaceae.
AAACUUUCAACAACGGAUCUCUUGGUUCUGGCAUCGAUGAAGAACGCAGCGAAAUGCGAUAAGUAAUGCGAAUUGCAGAAUUUCGUGAGUCAUUGAAUCUUUGAACGCACAUUGCGCCCUUUGGUAUUCCGAAGGGCAUGCCUGUUCGAGCGUCAUUUA